CCCAAGAGUUAGAGAUGGUCUAAUGUACUACAACAAACAAAUAAUUUAUGUAUGUACAAUUCAAAGAAUCAAGUAAUUAAUGGUCCCUCGUUAAAAAAAAAAAAAGGAAGGACAAUAUUAGAGAGAUUAAAUUUAUAAAUCAAAUGAUGUGUCAUCAAUAGAAAAUAAGCAAGUUAAUUGACACUUAACAAUAAUCCAAUAAUAAGUCUUCACAUCAUUUGAUUUACAAAACUUAAUUUAAAAUUUUGAUCUCGCUAUCAUUAAAUUAAAAAAAAAAUACUAAAAGUUGGGGUCACUGCAUGAUCGAGCCGGUUAAUUGUACGUUGAGAGUUUGAAUUUAUUCAUUAUCAACUUGCUUUUUCAUUGACAAAUCACAUCCUAACAUGAUAAUGACUUUGCUCAAAUCAUGGCCAUUCAACAACUAAGAUAUUUUCGGAUCGAAUAGGGAUCCUCUUUGAAUUUUUUUUAUGAGAAUUCUAGAGAUCCUUUAAUUACAUUCGUUCAUCACACAUCGUACGAUCAAUUUUGAUCAAGUAUUGUUUAUAUUUAAUUUUAAAUAAAAAAAUUUACAAUAAUUUCUGACCACACGAUAUACGAUAAACGAAUAUGAUUGAAAAUCGAUAGAAUCCUCAAAAAUAGAAUCCGAAGAAGAUCCUCAUUCUUUUGGAAUCGUGAAAAAAACGAGGAUACUUUAUUUUUCUUGAUCUAACCUUUUCUCUCUUCCGGUCCGGAUCUGGUAGCAAUUUGCAUGCUUUGUACUUAUGUUCUAGUUUUUUUUUUUUUUCCUUCUUUAUUCAACUGAUCAAUUAUUAUAACCAUGAUUAUGAUUACUUAACACUGUUACAAUGUCCACCUUCUUAUUUCUUACCCCCCCCUUCUAUAUUUACACCCCCAAUUAAAAGUAAAAAGAGAGCAAAGUUAUCUCCACACUUACCAUUAUUCCUUAAAUAGCCUAAACAGUCCAAUAUUGUUUUUUCCUUGAAUCCAACCAGUAAUCCCUUCGUUAACCCUACAAGAAAAAUGGGCUAAGAACACAAUUGAUUGGUGCCCUUCUCAUUUUCAUUGAGCACAAAUAUAUAUUUGUGCUUUUUAAAUUCCAUUGAGCACCAAAAUACCUCAAAUGUGCCCUCUAACAUAAAGGCACAUUAGUUUGUGUCGGGUAUUUGUGCCUACUAAAAUUUGAACACCAAACUUUGUGUCCAGCUUGCUUGUCAGGGAUGAAAUUUUUUUUUUAUUAAUUUACACAAACACAAUAAAGGCUUUUGUGCCCUCUAUUUUAAUAUGUUUAAAUAAAAAAAUUAUAUUUUCGUGUCUUUUACAUUUAAUAUUUCCUAUUCCCAACUAUUUUUUUCUUGUUUACAAUUUGUGAAAAUAUCUAGUUGCAAUCAAUUUGAAUUAUUAAUGGUGAUAAAUAUUAUAUUCUAUUUAAAUAAUACUUAUCGUAAUGAACGCGUGGUUACAAACUGAUGUGAAUUCGGAAUUAGAACGAGUAAGUUACGAAUUUUUAAAAUUAGAAGGCAAAAUGGUAAAAUUUUGGGAAGGAGUAUUCUAGAAGCCAAAGCUUCUCCCAUUUUACUUUCCCGACAAGCACAUGUAGCAGGGACCCACCCACGUGGGUCUUCACCCUUCCCACCUAAUUAUAUAUAUAUAUAAUAGUAUUAAAUUAUUAUUUUAUUAAUUUUAUGAUGGAUUUUUGUGCUCCUCCAUCUUUUUUCUAUCCCGGCACAAAUGCAACAAGGACCCACCCACGUGGGUCUUCACCCUUCCCCAUGCUUCUACUCCUCUCUGCACUGCAUCACUCUUCUGUCUCCCUCCUUCACGCAACCCUUUCUCUCACUUUCUCACUUUACUUCUUCAUAAUUUUCUCUGUGAUCUCCUUCACCAUCUCUGUGCUCACUGCACAGAAAACCUCAGCAUCCAUCUCCAUCUAACUAGCCACUCCGGCGAACCUUGCCACCACCCAAACACUACAUGCCACCCUCGCUCUCUCACAAUCUUUUUGUCUCUCCCUCUCGGCUUCUUCCUUGACACAGAGAAGCACAUAAGCAAUGACGGCGGCGGAGCUGGCGAUCUCCGGCGAGGCAACCACCAGCGUCACCUUCCUCUCCUCUCUGCAGACUCCCCUUUACCUUUUGCUUUCUGAAAAUCGAAACCGACGCGAUGAAAUGACAAGGUCCGUCGCGGCUUGACUCCUUGGCGAGAUUUUCCGUCGAAUUCAGUAUGGGUGAGUCUUGAAAACACCUUAGUUAGGUUCUUUAAGUUGUUUAGAGACGCUUUCGUGCACUGCAUGCCUGAUUUGGUUAAGUUUGGAUGCAGUUUCAACUUAGGGGACAAAUUCCCCUGAUUUCCAGCGAGGGCUAUGAUUUUAGGCUAUCACCGGCCACUCAAUGGCCUUGAAGUAGGUAAAUUUCGAAUACUUACCUUUGUAGCUUUGUUUUAGCUUUUGAAUUGUUGAAAAUGGUUGUGUUUUGGACCAAAACGGACUCUGAAACCCCUGGCGUGGCUGCAGGUCGCACUGUCGCUGUGCGUGGAGCUGUUGUGGAUGGCGCGUGGAGCACAGGCGCCUCCACCGGAAGGAUGAUUGCCUGAAAGGAUGAAUAUACGUUUUCAAAUGUUUGUUUUAGAUUGUAGGGUAUUUCGAAUUUGUUAUUUUUUAAAAAAAAAAAUUAAUUGAUAAGGCACAAUUACAAAAAUUGUGCUAACAUGAAUCUGAAAUGGCAUCUGACACAGGUGUCAGAACAGGACACAAAAAAAACCUUAUUUGUGCUCAAUGUUUGAGCACACAUGGCUGUAUCGUGCCCUCUAAUCAAUGGUGACGCCCAUAGAGGGCACAGACCCAAAGAUAGUAGCUGCAUUGUUGCUAUUGGUCUAUGGGCACAAUUGUUGGUGCUUUUUGAUCUCAAAGGGCACAUAUAAUUUAUUAUGCGCAGUGCUCAUUUUUUUUGUAGUGUAAACUCAAUAUUGAAGAAUUUAUUGGUAAGUUCAUCGCUUCUCAAUUUCGCAACCUUUUAAAUCAAUAAACUAAGCCUUCUAGCAUCUAAUUAAAACAAACAAACAAAACCAGAUACAAUUAAUCUUUUGCUCUUUGAAGACCAACUUUAGUAAGCUUUUUUAUGGUUCAUUAAACUCUUAUCUAAUUUUGUCGACCAAAUCACAAA
RNAcentral lists this long non-coding RNA (3158 nucleotides) under Malus domestica (apple). RNAcentral's name for it is "long non-coding RNA (MDOM_LNC009741)". Lineage: Eukaryota; Viridiplantae; Streptophyta; Magnoliopsida; Rosales; Rosaceae. The record is from RNAcentral.